This 7680-nucleotide long non-coding RNA is filed under the name Coffea arabica (coffee). RNAcentral describes it as "long non-coding RNA (CARA_LNC003637)". The record is from RNAcentral. Lineage: Eukaryota; Viridiplantae; Streptophyta; Magnoliopsida; Gentianales; Rubiaceae.
UACGGGGGUCUCGCUGUCCGAUCAGCGAGUCGGGGGUCCAAGGGGGCGACGCGCCCCUGGCUUGGGGGCCCGGGGGCGCAGCGAAGCCCCCGGUGGGGGCUUCGGGGGCAACGCCCCCGAAGCUUAUGAUCUAUAGUUAGUUGGGCUAGCUUUCGGUCAAGUGAAGGCCCAAGGGGCUGGCCGAACUUUCCUUGUUAUUUUUCCAGUUUAUUAGGUCUUAGUCACGGCUAUUAAUAGCCUCAAGCCGCAUGUUACAUUCAAUUUUUGAGAGUAUUGAAUAAAAUUUCCAGAAUUUCGUCCAUUCCUUGUGACAAAUUCCCUUAGCUUGUAAAAGCUAAGUUGAACAUCCUAGAGUUGAUCCUAGGCUGUUCUUGACUUAUCAAUCAAGCACACAUACUUGAUUGUGGCGUCCUCUACCGUUAAAUCUGUUCUUGAGUGGUCCAAGUUCGGGUUCAACUCCGUCAAAUCUUCAUCGUGUUCCUCUAGAUCCGAAGUAGCUUCCGCGUCUCGCAUCAUGUUACAUGCUAUUUAUACUGUUCAGAUGAAAUCAAAUAGACAUAUACAUAGAUUUUCAAAAAUAAUAAAAAUUUAUUUGUACACAUGAUCAAUAAGGGAUGAAAUUUUUUAUUUUGUGAAAAUGUGAGAGAUGAAAAAUUCAUUAUGUGAAAUUUAAGGGAUGAAAAAUUCAUUGCGUAAAAUAUGAGAGAUUAAAAAGUUCAUUUUAUAAAAUGUGAGGGAUAAUAAAUCGGAUUAUGUGAAAUUUAAUCUGACAAUUUUGUCUCUAAAAAACGAUCACGGGCAAUGCACGCGGUAAAUUUUGACAAAAACUAAUCAAAAACCUAAAUAUGGACUAAAAUUGACCAAUGUGAAUUUGUAAAUGAUGUAAAAUUACACUUUUAAAAGUAAGGUAUUAAAAAAAUCAUUUUACAAAAUAUAAAUAACAUUUUGAAUGUUCUUUCCUUAUUUCUUUUACAUAAUCGAGUUUGAAUGAGCUUUUUUUUUUAUUGAAUUUGAAAGUUAUCGAACAUAAAACACUGCUCAAACGUGAAUUUAUUAAUUAGUAAAUUAAAUUUAAAUGAACUCUGACAAAAAAGAAUUCGAUUCGAGUAUUGAGUAAUUUGAUUUAUUUUUCAAUUAUAAAAGUAAGAAAAAUUAAUCCUAUUUUAUACCCAACUUAACCUCAUCUAAUAAUUAAAGGUCUACAUAUAAAUGAACUAUAAUAUUUAAAAAGUAAAAUAAUUUAAUUUAAUAAAGUUGUGGUGAAGUUUUAUUCAACACUAUUUUAAUUCAAGUAUUGAUUAUUGUAUUAUAUGCAAGUCGAGUAGGUUGCUUAGUUCCCUAAAUAAUGAUCAGAACCAUUAGGUCUUGAUCUAAUGGCUACCAGGGAAAAUUAAUUUCAUUUCUAGGGUGUUGGUCAAGUUUCAAUUGAGUGUGUUUUUAUAAAAUAUUAUUUAAAAUAAUGACUGUAAUAUUUUUUAUAAUGUGAUAUAUAUGAGUUAAAAAUAUAAUUAAAAAAUAUAUUUAUGAUACAAAUAAAAUAUUAUUUGAAAUAAUUUGCUAUCCAAAUAUCAUUUUCGCCAAAGUAGUAGUAGUGGAGCAGGCAAGCACGUCACAGGAACAGCAGUACAACGCAUCCUCCUUUCUGACCAUCCCCUUCUCUAGGAUCCUUUAUUGCGAUAGAAUAGGAUUUAAAAUAAAAAAAGUAAUGAUCAGAAUAAGGGGAAGAGAUUAAUGAAAUAAAAUUGUUAUUUUUGAGUUUUGUUGGGCCUGCCUUUAUGGGGUAGUAAAAGGUGGACCGAAAGAAUUCUUGAUUACAUAAGAAACUAGUGGGAAUACCCGUGCUAUGCACGGUGCUGACAUUAUUGGAAAAAAAAUAAAAUGGUGAACAAAUAAAGGUAACAAAAGUUUACCAAUAAAAUUAAAAUAUAAUAUCUGUUUAACAAUAAUUUGAAAUAUAAUAGAAUGAAUAUAUCAUUUAAGAACCGUCUUUUUCGGUUGUAUGAGAAUUUUUUUUAUCAUUGUAUGAAAAUUGUUAACAAAAAAUACAAUAGUUAAUAUAGAAUAGCAUCAAUAGAAUUUAAUACAAUUGUGUUGUAAUCAAAUGAAAAAUACGCACCAAUUGAAUUGUUAUUAACACCCAUAGUUAAUGAAGUAAUCCCUAUAUAAAUAUAUUUUGGUACAUGUAGUAAUUGGUAAUCUAUAAAAUAAAAUAAAUUGCUAAUCUAUAAAAUUGCUAAGUUGUCUAUAAAUAGCAUCAAUCGAAUGUAAUACAAUUGUAUUGUAAUCGAACAAUUGUAAUACAAUUGUAUUGUAUUGUAUCUAUAGUUGAUUUAGCAAGAUAGUGCAGCCAAAAAGUGUGUAUGUAAGAUGAGUAUGACGAUAUAAGAAGUUGUAUAUUUACCAUGAUCACGCAAAAUCAUUGGUGAUGUGGAUGCCUGGCGAUCUUGAGGACAGUUAGAUUUUUCAUUUCUUUGAUCUAGAAAUAAAAUAUAUAUUAAAUUAAAAAUCAGUAGUUUAUGUAUUUAUUUUAUGUGUAAAUAAUGAUACAUUGUAUGAAAACUGUUAACCAAAAAAAUACAAUAAUUAAUAUAGAAAUAACAUCAAUAGAAUUUAAUAGAAUUGCAUUGUAAUCAAAUGAAAACAAUUACAGAGAAGUGGUUACCUGAACUAAGGAAUGCAGUUUUAAAUGCUCAAAAGUGCCUUGACGAUUGCACAUAUGUCAGGGGCUUGGUGAGUUUUUUGCUCCUCUUGAAUCAUUUUCUUUUUUCUAAUUGUAAUAUAUUACUUGCAGGUGUUAAGUAGGACUUGGCUCUAACCUUUCGUUUAAGUACUUUAAGCAAUGAACUAUUUAUUCUAUGAGUUGAAUUGUGCUAUUGCUAGAUAGAUGAAUCAUGUAGUUGUAAUUGUCAUUGUUGAUAAAGAAAAGAAAGGCUAUAAUGCAACUUUGCCAAAAAGAUUUCUGACGAAAUUAAAAAUUAAUCCAAUUUUAAUAAUGGCGUAUAGUGCCUUAGUUAUUAGUAGUAUCUGAAUUGUUUUUCUCCAAUUAUAAACCAUUUUUAAUUAUCAAAAAAUCUUUUUUUAUUUCAUGCACGAUCAUUUUUGGAAUAAAAUUAUGAAAAUAACUAUCGUAACACCUAUUUUAUGUGAUAAAUGUGCAAUAAAAAAUAAUUAAAAAAAUUUCAGUAAUACAAACAAAUAAAUUUUUAUAAUAUACAAUUUAUGUUAGAAAUAGUAGAACCCUCAAUCAUAAAUCUAUACCAUCCGCAAUUAUAUAAGCAAGCAAUACCUUUUUAUCUUUGCUUUACAUUGUAACAAUAAGCAAACAACAGUUCAUAGGAUUUUGUAAAAAAUUUUCAGAAAUAAUGGAUGAUCAGAAAAUCAAUGCAAUAUCAUUCAUGACAAAAAGCAAAGCAAAAGCACAACAUACUUAAAAGGCAGAGGGGACCGACCUGGAAAAUUAAGCCGGCCGCAAGAAGGUUGAUUUCUGCUGGAGUCUCUGCACAUAAUAUCUUCCACUACUGCUCACAAAAGAAACAAAAUCAAUACAUUUACAAAAUCAAUAGAGAACCCAAAACAAAUAAGAAACUGAGAGAGAGGGUGAGGGAAUUAACUCGAUAAGUUAAUUAAGUCGAUCAGUAAAAGGGUUGGAAAAAAAUUAUAAACAUAUUAUAUUAUUGGAAAUAAUCGAAAAUAAAAAGAAUUACAAUAUGGGGAAUAAUUAUUAAAGAAAACACGUACCGGAAUUUUUAAUUUGAUGCGAACGACGUUUUAAUCAGUGUAGCCUGGAUUUUGUUCUUCGGAUUUGAUUUGAGAUUUUUCUUUCGUCAGCGCAAACUUGUUGAAACUUUUCCAACUGGUGUGUGAAAUCGUUGCGGUAUAUGUUUCGUUUUCUAAGCAAAUAUUUCCUUCUUUGCAAUCUUGCGAGUUUGAAAUCUAGUUGUUGUUGAAAUGCUUGUAGGCGGGCAUAUUCCAUGGUGAGGAAACUUUAGAUGAGUUCCCUACAAAUUUUGAGUGAAAAAUUUUAAUAUAUUAAAUAAUAGGACAACUUGAAUUUGGGACAGCAGAUAAGUGGGGCAAAGGUGAAAAAACACAAUAAUACUAAUCAAUAGCUAAAUGAGCAGGGUCACUUAUUGAAAGGUAAUCACCGCCGGCUUCGUGACGUCUGCCGAAGGUUCAAGAAAAGAAGUAUGAUGCGUACUAAGAAGAGCACCGGAGUUCUGGUACCAGGAUGGGAUAGCUUUCAGGUAUUUUCCUGUGUUAUGUGAAGACGCAAUUUUGAAUUAAAAAAAAAUGGGUCAUUAAGAGAUAGUUGGAGUGGACUCUUAAUUGGAGUGGGAAACGGGAGAGAAUUUGUAGGAGUGAUUGUAGGAUGAGUUAAGAUAGUGGGAUACUGGGAGUGAGAUAGUGGGAAUAUUGAUUGGUGAUAAUGUGGGUUAUAACCCACUAUUUUUUUAUGUAUUAAAAUAAAUACAAAAAUCUAGAAAAAAGUAUGACAAGUUUAGAAGGCAUUGAGAGGGUUUCUGCUAAAAAUCCCUUCCUGAAUACAUAUAGAUAUAGAUUUAUAAUCAAUCAGGCAACCAUCUAAAAUUGGGACCCGAUAUUGGAAACAUGUCAUCAUACGGGUCCGCUACUACUACGUUGCUACAGUUUUUUUAAAAUGGAGUAUGCAGGAGAAAAUGCCAGCCUACGAUUUGGCGAAGAUUCUAAGUGGAAAAUCCUUCAAAACGUUUAUUAUAUUUUAUCAAAUAAAAUUUAUUAUUUUUUAUUAUUUUUUAUUUUUUAAAAUUUUAAAAUAUUAACUUUACGUUAUUUAUAAAUUCAAGUUAUUAAAAUUUGGUCAUAACCUACAUUUUUUAUUACUUUUUAACCUAAAAAUCAUCAUGUAACCCGUAUGUGAUCAUUUUUUAUAUACAAAAAUCAAAUAUGACUUUUUAAGAGUAAAAAUGAAUAUGUAUUGGGGUAGAUUCCACUUUUCAGAUGAAAAAAUAAAUAUGAUUCUGGUCAUAUCUCAAAUUUGUAGGUGCAAAAAAAUGGAUAUAGGUCAAGUCAUUUGUUUUAAUUAAAAUGAAAUUUAACAUUUUUGCUCCUAAAAAAAAUGAUCAUGUGAAGGUUAUGUAAUUGAUUCAAAGCAAAAAAAUAGUCAAAAACAUAGGUUAGGACCAAAAUUUGUCGACUUGAUUUUAUAAGGGACGUAAAAUUGCUAUUUUAAAAGUGAAUGAUAAAAAAAUUCAUUUAAUAAAUUAUGAUGGAUAUUUGAACAAUUUUCCAAUUCUACCCAAAUACACGCAUACAUGUAUAUAUAGAUUAUUCUAUGAAAUGUAAACAUUUGAUGGUACAAUUAAUGGUGGGGAAAAUAACAAUUCAAUACUUGAAUUAAAAUAGUGUUGGAAUAAUUUUUCAGAUUGGACUGUCAAAACUUGUGGGGAAAAUGAAAUCAGAAGAUUCAACAUUUAUAAGAAGGGUAUUAAAUUUGAGAAAUUUUGUUGCUAGGAAUGGGCUAAGGAUAUGAUCAUAAGCGUAAAAAAAAUGUUUUUGAAUGAAAAAAAAAAAUUAUUAGCAUACAUUCGCAGUCAUAUGUGCAUAUUCAAGUACACAUAUGUACACAUAAAUUACAAUGUACACAUACAAAUGUACGCUUAUGUAAACAAAAGUAUACAUAGUUAUUUGUCAAGGUGAAUGUUUUUGCUCGACAAAGUACAUACUAUUAUGAGGGUGAAUUAGCAUUUAGCAAAAAGUUUAGAAUAAACUUUAUAUACAGUGACAGUAUAUAUGUAUGUAUACACACACAUCAUCAUUAAUGGAUUCAUGACAAGUGUAAAAAGUUAGAUUUCAAAUUCAAUUUUUACAUAAUUGUCAUUUAUUUAACACCUAUGGUGUGUACACUAUCAGGAUUAAUUCAUAAGUUUAGUUAUUUUAAUUUGUGAACAAUGACGCAUCCCUAAUUCACACAUUUGUGGAAAUUUACAUCAUAUUUACAAAAUUUGAAAUCUUUUGUUCCCAUUCUCCAAAUUUUCCUAAAUUUGUAUUACAAAUAUUUCCCCACAUAGCAACACAGCAUUUAAACGCUUCAAAGUUGUUUGUACCAAGUAUUAGUGGUUUUAUUUUGUCUAAAAAUAAAAAGUAUCGGCGGUUUGAUGCGAAAGUGUGCGACUAUGUCUAAUAUAUGUAACUACAUUUAUAAGCUAAACAUUGAUUGUGUUUUCACGACUUGCGAGAACUAGCUUAAAGCAUUGGAUUUAUGCAUUAAAAUGGUUUUGGUUUUUAUGACUUGCGAGGCAAUGAUGUUCAUAGUUUAUAAGUUCAGAUGCAUAUUUUAUCCUAGAUUAAAUUCAAUGUAACAAGGAUUUACUUGAUACAUUCUUUAUUUUAUUUUUUCGUGAGAAACUUGCUUGGCAAUAUCUUGUUUUAUCAAGGACAAAGGUGUAACUUGGGCUUGGAAGACAUAUACAAGACAAAAUGCCUACUCUACACAACAUACUCAAGAGAACAUAAUUUAAAAUAACUCAUGGCAUAAUAUUGAGCACUAAUUGCAACAUACAUCAGUUUAACUUUUUUUUAAAUAAUAAAAUUAAUGACCUAAAUUUAUGAUAUUGUAUAAGUUUAACUAGAGUGUAUAUAUAUAUAUAUUUUUUUUUUGUCGACACAGGGGUGUUCGGAUCAAUCCUUACGGGGCCCGAUUAAUUCCCUGCGGCCUGGGAGAGGAGGCCUCACUCCACACCGAACACGUUAACAGCGGGACUCGAACCCUGGACAAGCCAAGAAGGUCGCCAUAUCCUAAGGAGGGGGAACGGACCGCUCGAGCUACCCGCGGGGGCAACUAGAGUGUAUUAUCAAAUAAAGAAGUUUGAAUUCUAAAGCAAAACUGCACAUUUUUUGGGCAAGAAAAAAAAAAGCAUCAAGAUUCUUUAUUUUUUAAAUACUAAUGAGCGUAAUGUAUGAUCGGAUUCUGUUUCUUUGCAAUCGCACUAGUAAUUAUAGAGUGCAAUUAAUGGUGAUAGAUGGUGUAUUUUGAAAAUGCAGGGAAGGGAUUAAAUUUUGGAUACAAAUUUUAAAGUGUCAAAAAAAUUAUUGUAAUUUUGCAUUUUUGUUGUUAUUCGUCUAUUUUAUUGCAUUAAUAUCUAACUCUGCUAGUAUGUAUAUUAUAAUGUGCAGUUGUAACGUAGUGAUUGCAUAAUCCUUGAAUCCUGCAUGUAUUGAUGUUAUAUCUGUACCUAUGUUACACUGAUCUAGGAUCAAAAAGUUCCGCUUGACUAAAAAAGCAAACUUGAAGGACCAAAAAGUACAAAAUAAUACUCGGAGGACUAUCUCGAAAUUUUGGAAAAUACUUUAGGGAUUAAAUUCAAGUUUCUACAAAUUGUCCCAGCAGGAAGGAAAGCAUUACUACUAUUAGAAACACGAGGGAGACAAAUCGACGAACAGUGGUAAGUAUUAAACCCAGACCCACAGUUAAGAAAGAGAAACGGGAAAAGGAGCUUAAAAGUUAAACCCCAAAGGAGGAAGAGGAACCAUCGUCUGGGCGUGGUUGCCCCUUUAUGUAGAAUAAAAUUUCCGGCACUAAUGUCGAGUUUCAGCUCAACUGAAUUAUAUAUUUGAGUCGUUUUCGAGGUUUAAGAAAAUUGUCCAAAAAUGUCUGUAAUGAUUGUAACGAGCCUGGGAGAUAUAGUUGUGGAUUUGUUCACC